GACGAACGCUGGCGGCGUGCUUAACACAUGCAAGUCGAACGGAAAGGCCCUGCUUUUGUGGGGUGCUCGAGUGGCGAACGGGUGAGUAACACGUGAGUAACCUGCCCUUGACUUUGGGAUAACUUCAGGAAACUGGGGCUAAUACCGGAUAGGAUCUCCUGCUGCAUGGUGGGGGUUGGAAAGUUUCGGCGGUUGGGGAUGGACUCGCGGCUUAUCAGCUUGUUGGUGGGGUAGUGGCUUACCAAGGCUUUGACUGGUAGCCGGCCUGAGAGGGUGACCGGCCACAUUGGGACUGAGAUACGGACCAGACUGCUACGGGAGGCAGAAGUGGGGAAUAUUGCACAAUGGGCGGAAGCCUGAUGCAGCAACGCCGCGUGCGGGAUGACGGCCUUCGGGUUGUAAACCGCUUUCGCCUGUGACGAAGCGUGAGUGACGGUAAUGGGUAAAGAAGCACCGGCUAACUACGUG
RNAcentral lists this ribosomal RNA (468 nucleotides) under uncultured bacterium. RNAcentral's name for it is "partial 16S ribosomal RNA". It matches the Rfam family "Bacterial small subunit ribosomal RNA", at positions 28 to 507 of the family's 1533-position model. The record is from RNAcentral.